Molecule: ribosomal RNA, 254 nt
Filed under: uncultured bacterium
Lineage: Bacteria
Description: partial 16S ribosomal RNA
Rfam family: Bacterial small subunit ribosomal RNA
Source: RNAcentral
UACGUAGGUGGCAAGCGUUGUCCGGAUUUACUGGGCGUAAAGGAUGCGUAGGCGGACAUUUAAGUCAGAUGUGAAAUACCCGAGCUUAACUUGGGUGCUGCAUUUGAAACUGGGUGUCUAGAGUGCAGGAGAGGUAAGUGGAAUUCCUAGUGUAGUCGGUGAAAUGCGUAGAGAUUAGGAAGAACACCAGUGGCGAAGGCGACUUACUGGACUGUAACUGACGCUGAGGCAUGAAAGCGUGGGGAGCAAACAGG